GACGAACGCUGGCGGCGUGCUUAACACAUGCAAGUCGAACGGAAAGGCCCUGCUUUUGUGGGGUGCUCGAGUGGCGAACGGGUGAGUAACACGUGAGUAACCUGCCCUUGACUUUGGGAUAACUUCGGGAAACUGGGGCUAAUACCGGAUAGGAGCUCCUGCUGCAUGGUGGGGGUUGGAAAGUUUCGGCGGUUGGGGAUGGACUCGCGGCUUAUCAGCUUGUUGGUGGGGUAGUGGCUUACCAAGGCUUUGACGGGUAGCCGGCCUGAGAGGGUGACCGGCCACAUUGGGACUGAGAUACGGCCCAGACUCCUACGGGAGGCAGCAGUGGGGAAUAUUGCACAAUGGGCGGAAGCCUGAUGCAGCAACGCCGCGUGCGGGAUGACGGCCUUCGGGUUGUAAACCGCUUUCGCCUGUGACGAAGCGUGAGUGACGGUAAUGGGUAAAGAAGCACCGGCUAACUACGUGCCAGCAGCCGCGGUGAUACGUAGGGUGCGAGCGUUGUCCGGAUUUAUUGGGCGUAAAGGGCUCGUAGGUGGUUGAUCGCGUCGGAAGUGUAAUCUUGGGGCUUAACCCUGAGCGUGCUUUCGAUACGGGUUGACUUGAGGAAGGUAGGGGAGAAUGGAAUUCCUGGUGGAGCGGUGGAAUGCGCAGAUAUCAGGAGGAACACCAGUGGCGAAGGCGGUUCUCUGGGCCUUUCCUGACGCUGAGGAGCGAAAGCGUGGGGAGCGAACAGGCUUAGAUACCCUGGUAGUCCACGCUGUAAACGGUGGGUACUAGGUGUGGGGUCCAUUCCACGGGUUCCGUGCCGUAGCUAACGCUUUAAGUACCCCGCCUGGGGAGUACGGCCGCAAGGCUAAAACUCAAAGGAAUUGACGGGGCCCCGCACAAGCGGCGGAGCAUGCGGAUUAAUUCGAUGCAACGCGUAGAACCUUACCUGGGUUUGACAUGGAUCGGGAGCGCUCAGAGAUGGGUGUGCCUCUUUUGGGGUCGGUUCACAGGUGGUGCAUGGCUGUCGUCAGCUCGUGUCGUGAGAUGUUGGGUUAAGUCCCGCAACGAGCGCAACCCUUGUUCACUGUUGCCAGCACAUUAUGGUGGGGACUCAGUGGAGACCGCCGGGGUCAACUCGGAGGAAGGUGGGGAUGACGUCAAGUCAUCAUGCCCCUUAUGUCCAGGGCUUCACGCAUGCUACAAUGGCUGGUACAGAGAGUGGCGAGCCUGUGAGGGUGAGCGAAUCUCGGAAAGCCGGUCUCAGUUCGGAUUGGGGUCUGCAACUCGACCUCAUGAAGUCGGAGUCGCUAGUAAUCGCAGAUCAGCAACGCUGCGGUGAAUACGUUCCCGGG
Molecule: ribosomal RNA, 1343 nt
Filed under: uncultured bacterium
Lineage: Bacteria
Description: 16S ribosomal RNA
Rfam family: Bacterial small subunit ribosomal RNA
Source: RNAcentral